Molecule: ribosomal RNA, 253 nt
Filed under: uncultured bacterium
Lineage: Bacteria
Description: partial 16S ribosomal RNA
Rfam family: Bacterial small subunit ribosomal RNA
Source: RNAcentral
UACGAGGGGUGCAAGCGUUGCUCGGAUUUAUUGGGCGUAAAGGGUAGGUAGGUGGUCUUGUUUGUCAGGGGUGAAAUCCCUGGGCUUAACUUAGGAAGUGCCUCUGAUACGGCAAGACUAGAGUUCUGGAGAGGGUUGUGGAAUUCCCGGUGUAGCGGUGAAAUGCGUAGAGAUCGGGAGGAACAUCAGUGGCGAAGGCGACAACCUGGAAAGAUACUGACACUAAACUACGAAAGCGUGGGGAGCAAACAGG